RNAcentral lists this ribosomal RNA (207 nucleotides) under uncultured bacterium. RNAcentral describes it as "partial 16S ribosomal RNA". It matches the Rfam family "Bacterial small subunit ribosomal RNA", at positions 568 to 774 of the family's 1533-position model. The record is from RNAcentral.
UGCGUAGGUGGCAGGGUAAGUUUGGUGUGAAAUCUCCGGGCUUAACCCGGAAAUGGCAUUGAAUACUAUCCUGCUCGAGGGUUGGAGGGGGGACUGGAAUUCUCGGUGUAGCAGUGAAAUGCGUAGAUAUCGAGAGGAACACCAGUGGCGAAGGCGAGUCCCUGGACAAUACCUGACACUGAGGCACGAAAGCUAGGGGAGCAAACA